GUCAAAGGCAGAGAGCAAGCUCUGUUCAAAUCAAAUCACGUUUUUUUGUCACAUGCGCCGGAUAGAACUUUACCAUGAAAUGCUUACUUAUGAGCCCUUUCCCAACGAUGCAGAGUAAUAAAAAAAACCCACAAGGAAUAAAAUACACAAGAAUGAAGCUAUAUACAGGGAGUACCAGUAGUAUAUCAAUGAGGCAGAUGAAAAUGCGCAGCGCUCCGUUUUUAGGUCAGUGGGACACGGAAUGGCGCUCUCUCUCUCUCCCUUCUUUUGAUCGACGAGUGGAAACAUUGUGACCUUCCUGACAUUCUAGUUUUCAGUUUUCCCUCGCAACUUUGUUUUUAAAACAUACUACACCCUCUAGUAUUGUGUCUGGGUGAAAACCGAGACAGAGGAAGAGAUGGCUCAUCUGGUGGCUGUGGUGAUUCUUUAGGGGAAAGAAAGAGCAGAGCAAAAUAGGAGGGAAUUCCUAGCUGUCUGUCUCUCACUGUGAAAAAAAGACAGAGAAAAGUGUCCUGGAAGGUGUAACCACUAAAACUAUUAUGCAAAUGAGGAAAUGAGGAAGGGAGCUGCCACUGUGAGAAAGAUAUACUGUAAACUAGUAUUAUUAUGUAAUAAAAUGGUCAUACUCUAGAUUGUUAUGAUGAGGUUGAAGCUAGGUCAAGUUGUUAUGAUGAGGUUGAGACUAGAUCUAUAUUGUUAUGAGGUUGAGACUAGGUCAGGUUGUUAUGACAAGGUUGAGACUAGGGUCUAGGUUGUUAUGAUGUGGUUGAUACCAGGUCAGGUUGUUAUGAUGAGGUUGAGACUAGGGUCUAGGUUGUUAUGAUGAGGUUUAUACUAGGUCAGGUUGUUAUGAUGAGGUUGAGACUAGAUCUAUAUUGUUAUGAGGUUGAGACUAGGUCAGGUUGUUAUGAUGAGGUUGAGACUAGGGUCUAGGUUGUUAUGAUGUGGUUGAUACCAGGUCAGGUUGUUAUGAUGAGGUUGAUACUAGGUCAGGUUGUUAUGAUGAGGUUGAGACUAGAUCUAUAUUGUUAUGAGAG
RNAcentral lists this long non-coding RNA (1037 nucleotides) under Salmo salar (Atlantic salmon). Its description in RNAcentral is "lncRNA (ENSSSAG00000093967.1)". The record is from RNAcentral. Lineage: Eukaryota; Metazoa; Chordata; Actinopteri; Salmoniformes; Salmonidae.